CGGCAAGGCGAGCAGUGGGGCGGAGGGCAGGGAUGGAGAGCUGAGCAGAUCCCAGAGGCGGGAAGUGAGCUCUGAUGGAGGACGAGUCACUCAGGAAAGACCGCAUCCUCCUCGGGAGAGUGCUGAGCACAGAGCCGGGGCCUGGGGACAGGGGUUCUGACUCUAACUCAUGGGGUGAUGGAGGGCCAGGACCGGCCGUCAUGAGGCUUAUCUGUGCGCCGAAGAAUCUGCAGGCUGCUGCUGGCCCAGCGAGGUGGGGCAAGCUGUGGAAUCUCUCCAAACCUCCUCCUCUAAACCUGUGGAAGGCGUGUCCUGGGGUAGAACCUCCUUCGUUGUGGUGUCGUGAGCAUUAAAUGAGAUCCAAGCACAGUGCCCUUCAUGCCCCCUGUGCGGCCGAGCCAAACUGAAGACGGGCGAGUCAGCAUCCGGACCAGAGCAGGGUGGACAGCCGGCCUCGGCAUCGGCUUCGCAACUUGGGUUCAUGAACUUGCAUUGGCAUCACUCAGUUCAAUUCCAACAGUUUAUUUCUCUCAUUUGUUAUUAUUUUAAACGCAUUGUUUCCACUUUGCACCCAUCUCCUAAGAGCAAUCCUUAGACUCAGACUCAAGUCCCAUUCUACUGCUAAAAUCCCUGUACUAUAGAAGCUGGAGAUGCAACAGUGAGCAAGACCUACCAGAUCUCUACAGGAGAGACAGACAAUUAACACCCAAUUGCACAAAUAUUUAUUUAAUUACAAUUUUACUAAGUGCUGGGUAUGAAAGAGCAUGUAACAGAGGGACCGGAGCUGAUGUCUUAUUCGAUCUCCUACAACCCUUCUCAUGAGCAGGGUACAAACCUUUAUGCCCGUUUUAAAGGUAAAAGUGAAGCCAGAGCACUCAUGUGAGAGAUACAUGAGCGACGGGGCUCAUUGCAGCAGGAAGGAGAAGAGAGACAGGAAGACACGAGGGAGGGCAAAACAUUUGUGAACUGUAAAGUGCUGUAUAUGUGGAAAUCGAUGACAGCUGUCAUUCCUGUACUCUGGGAUCCCACACUUGAGCUUCUAUCACGAAGUUUAAAAAUAGCUUCCAUCAGCG
This 1073-nucleotide long non-coding RNA is filed under the name Equus caballus (horse). RNAcentral describes it as "lncRNA (ENSECAG00000048723.1)". Lineage: Eukaryota; Metazoa; Chordata; Mammalia; Perissodactyla; Equidae. The record is from RNAcentral.